This 218-nucleotide ribosomal RNA is filed under the name uncultured bacterium. RNAcentral's name for it is "partial 16S ribosomal RNA". It matches the Rfam family "Bacterial small subunit ribosomal RNA", at positions 1275 to 1500 of the family's 1533-position model. The record is from RNAcentral.
UCGAAAGCCUGUCUCAGUUCGGAUUGGAGGCUGAAACCCGCCUCCAUGAAGUUGGAUUCGCUAGUAAUCGCGCAUCAGCCAUGGCGCGGUGAAUACGUUCCCGGGCCUUGUACACACCGCCCGUCAAGCCAUGGGAGCCGGGAGCGCUUGAAGUGCGUCGCCGCGAGGCGCGCCCUAGAGCGAGACCGGUGACUGGGGCUAAGUCGUAACAAGGUAUC